GUGGGGAAUAUUGGACAAUGGGGGGAACCCUGAUCCAGCCAUGCCGCGUGUGUGAAGAAGGCCUUUUGGUUGUAAAGCACUUUAAGCGAGGAGGAGGCUACCGAGAUUAAUACUCUUGGAUAGUGGACGUUACUCGCAGAAUAAGCACCGGCUAACUCUGUGCCAGCAGCCGCGGUAAUACAGAGGGUGCAAGCGUUAAUCGGAUUUACUGGGCGUAAAGCGCGCGUAGGUGGCGAAUUAAGUCAAAUGUGAAAUCCCCGGGCUUAACUUGGGAAUUGCAUUCGAUACUGGUUGGCUAGAGUAUGGGAGAGGAUGGUAGAAUUCCAGGUGUAGCGGUGAAAUGCGUAGAGAUCUGGAGGAAUACCGAUGGCGAAGGCAGCCAUCUGGCCUAAUACUGACACUGAGGUGCGAAAGCAUGGGGAGCAAACAGGAUUAGAAACCCUUGUAGUCC
RNAcentral lists this ribosomal RNA (451 nucleotides) under uncultured bacterium. RNAcentral's name for it is "partial 16S ribosomal RNA". It matches the Rfam family "Bacterial small subunit ribosomal RNA", at positions 354 to 796 of the family's 1533-position model. The record is from RNAcentral.